AUUUCCUUAUUAUAUAAAUCAAUUAUAAAACUGUAGAAAGAUAUUUAAAAAUAUGGUGAUAAGGGACGUAUCGUGUUUAGCACAAAACAAAGUAAAAUCUCAAAUUUCAUUGGUCAGCUAAUGUUUGAGAUACAGUUUAUCAUAAACAUGACCACAGAUAACACAUGCAAAGGAAUCUAAGCGAACAGAACGUUUGUUACAUCAAAAUGAGAUACACGUACUUGUCACAGUAAUAAUUAAUGUUCCUGAUAAAUUAAUUGGCAUUAUCAAGACAUCAUGUGACAUCUGUAUAAUUAGCAUACACACAACCCAUUACUAAAUCGUUGGAGUCUGAAGUCUUGAUGAACGCUAACACUAAACAUACAAUCGAGCAGUUAUUUGACUAUUUUAAAGCCAAAAAUAUGUUUAUACAAAAUUGUCGGUAUAUUUAGUGUCAAACACAAUAUCAUGUGCAGUUUAGACACAACAAAAACACAUAAUUAUUGAUAUCAACAGAUUGUCAGUCAUAAAUGAUAACUAAAGGAUAAUUUAGAAAAUACGUUGAUAAAGUGCCACUGAAAAUUUUGGAAAAUAUAUAUGUUUGCAUUAUUGUAACGUUUAAUCUUCGUAUACCCGCGCAUUCGUCUGUCAGACCGUCGAUUUACGUUUGCCUUGUUUUUUUUUUAAACGGAAAACGUUUUACACAUUCCCAUCUAAUAGUAAACUUAAUUUUAUAAUAUUUUACUAAAUAACAUACUAAAAUGGCCCUAGCACUGUCGGUCUCACACACUGUGCAUGUGUUACAGCAUUUAACGAGGGUAUACGAAGGUUCAAGAUAUUUUGGAGUUUGUGACUCGUGGACACCGAGUGCAUCCGGGUAUACGUCGUCGACCCAGCCAGAUCGCCGGUCUUAGGAGAACUGAAGUUCGAGAAUAGAAUAAGCUGCGGUCCGUGUGUCCGUAUCUAAGCAAACUGUGGCAGAAAGGCGUUCGGUAUAAUAUAUCGUCGGGUAACAUCUAGUGGUUCGUCCAUAGAUUGACUGGCAGGACUUAUAUCCUGUUGGGUGUUACUUGGAAGAUGAUGAAAUAAAGGAGUUAUUUGAGGGUGUCUUUGAGGAUGAGGUCCCUUCACGGUGAGGUCCAUUUCAGCUUCCUGAGGUCUCUCUCUCAUACUGACAGCAGAGAUCGUCUCAGAGGGACUGGCGGAAGUCCGUGGUGGAGAUCCACAUCCGCACUUGAUUCUUUCGGGUGAUUUGUCGCAGGAAACUGAGUAUCUAAAGCGCCCGAGGGUAUCUGAGGAUUUGGCAACGCCGAAGACGGUGAAGGUGGAGGAGGUGGCGAGGAGUCAGGACGCUCAACUCCUGGUCCUGGAGGUGGACGCAGUAAAAGAGGUGCAGCACUUCCUAGACCAAGGCAACGCAUCCUCCAUGCAUCCUGAAGCAGUUGAAGUCGCGCCUGUUUUCUCCAUUUUGCUCUUCUAUUUUGAAACCAUACCUAAAAAGAAAUUUAACGUUCACUGACAAUCAUUACUGCGACAUACUUAAAAUUACUUCAAUGUAAUUGUCAAAAGUUAUACGCUUUUGAAAAACAAAUUUGACACUUGAAAUUUACCUGUACACGAGCUUCUGAAAGGGAAAUCCUGAGGGCGACUUCCUCGCGCAAGAAGACGUCGGGAUAGUGAGUCUUUUGAAAUAGAGAUUCCAAUUCCUGUAACUGUUGAGGAGUGAAGGUUGUCCGAUUGCGUCUCUGUGAGGAAAAAUAUUAAGUUUUAGUGGUAAUAACUUUUCAACUAAUUGGAGUUAAGUUUAAAUUUAAAAGAAACGUACACUGACCUGACGACGGCGCCCGAACAUGUACUCAGUAAGAAGAUCAGCCUGCGGUCCCAGUGGUG
Molecule: long non-coding RNA, 1869 nt
Organism: Cephus cinctus (wheat stem sawfly)
Lineage: Eukaryota; Metazoa; Arthropoda; Insecta; Hymenoptera; Cephidae
Exons: 7
Source: RefSeq, a predicted model, not a curated record